GGGGGAAACCCUGAUGCAGCCAUGCCGCGUGUGUGAAGAAGGCCUUCGGGUUGUAAAGCACUUUCAGUAGGGAGGAAGGUAGUGUAGUUAACACCUGCAUUAUUUGACGUUACCUACAGAAGAAGCACCGGCUAACUCCGUGCCAGCAGCCGCGGUAAUACGGAGGGUGCGAGCGUUAAUCGGAAUUACUGGGCGUAAAGCGCAUGCAGGCGGCCUGUUAAGUCAGAUGUGAAAGCCCGGGGCUUAACCUCGGAAUUGCAUUUUGAAACUGGCAGGCUAGAGUCUUGUAGAGGGGGUAGAAUUUCAGGUGUAGCGGUGAAAUGCGUAGAGAUCUGAAGGAAUACCAGUGGCGAAGGCGGCCCCCUGGACAAAGACUGACGCUCAGAUGCGAAAGACGUGGGGAGCAAACAGGAUUAGAUACCCUGGUAG
RNAcentral lists this ribosomal RNA (429 nucleotides) under uncultured bacterium. RNAcentral describes it as "bacterial SSU rRNA". It matches the Rfam family "Bacterial small subunit ribosomal RNA", at positions 373 to 793 of the family's 1533-position model. The record is from RNAcentral.